Molecule: ribosomal RNA, 1205 nt
Filed under: metagenome
Description: bacterial SSU rRNA
Rfam family: Bacterial small subunit ribosomal RNA
Source: RNAcentral
CACCGGGACUGAGACACGGCCCAGACUCCUACGGGAGGCAGCAGUCGAGGAUCAUUGUCAAUGCGCGGAAGCGUGAACAUGCGACGCUGCGUGGAGGAUGAAGGCCUUCGGGUCGUAAACUCCUGUCAUUCGGGAAAAACGGGCGGGCCGUUAAUAACGGUUCGCAGUGAUGGUACCGGAAGAGGAAGCCACGGCUAACUCUGUGCCAGCAGCCGCGGUAAUACAGAGGUGGCAAGCGUUGUUCGGAUUUACUGGGCGUAAAGGGUGCGUAGGUGGUUUCGUGUGUCGGGCGUGAAAGCCCACUGCUCAACGGUGGAAAUGCGUUCGAAACUGCGAGACUUGAGUGCAGGAAGGGAGAGCGGAAUUCUUGGUGUAGCGGUGAAAUGCGUUGAUAUCAAGAAGAACACCGGUGGCGAAGGCGGCUCUCUGGAAUGUUACUGACACUGAGGCACGAAAGCUGGGGGAGCAAACAGGAUUAGAUACCCUGGUAGUCCCAGCCGUAAACGGUGUGCACUUGGUGUGGGCGGUAUUGACCCCGUCCGUGCCGGAGCUAACGCGUUAAGUGCACCGCCUGGGGAGUACGACCGCAAGGUUAAAACUCAAAGAAAUUGACGGGGGCCCGCACAAGCGGAGGAGCAUGUGGCUUAAUUCGAUGCAACGCGAAGAACCUUACCAGGGCUUGACAUGAUACUGCACGCCCGCCGAAAGGUGGGAAGCCUUCGAGGGUGUAUCACAGGUGCUGCAUGGCUGUCGUCAGUUCGUGCCGUGAGGUGUUGGGUUAAGUCCCGCAACGAACGCAACCCUUGUAGUUAGUUGCUACCGUAGGUGAUGAGCCUGCGGGCACUCUAACCAGACUGCCCGUACAAGCGGGAGGAAGGUGGGGAUGACGUCAAGUCAGUAUGGCCCUUACGUCCUGGGCUGCACACGUGCUACAAUGGUCGGUACAGUGGGAAGCAAUGCCGCGAGGUGGAGCAAAUCCUCAAAACCGGCCUCAGUUCGGAUUGGAGUCUGAAACUCGACUCCAUGAAGCUGGAUUCGCUAGUAACGGCGUAUCAGCUACGGCGCCGUGAAUACGUUCCCGGGCCUUGUACACACCGCCCGUCACAUCAUGAAAGCCGUCUGCACCCGAAGUCGCUGAGCCAACUUUUACGAGAGGCAGGUGCCGAAGGUGUGGGUGGUGAUUGGGAUGAAGUCGUAACAAGGUA